RNAcentral lists this ribosomal RNA (444 nucleotides) under uncultured bacterium. RNAcentral's name for it is "partial 16S ribosomal RNA". It matches the Rfam family "Bacterial small subunit ribosomal RNA", at positions 339 to 795 of the family's 1533-position model. The record is from RNAcentral.
CUACGGGGGGCUCCAGUGGGGAAUAUUGCACAAUGGGCGCAAGCCUGAUGCAGCAACGCCGCGUGGGGGACGAAGGCCUUCGGGUUGUAAACCUCUUUUAGUAGGGAAGAAGCGCAAGUGACGGUACCUACAGAAAAAGCACCGGCUAACUACGUGCCAGCAGCCGCGGUAAUACGUAGGGUGCAAGCGUUGUCCGGAAUUAUUGGGCGUAAAGAGCUCGUAGGCGGUUUGUCGCGUCUGCUGUGAAAAUCCGAGGCUCAACCUCGGACCUGCAGUGGGUACGGGCAAACUAGAGUGCGGUAGGGGGGAUUGGAAUUCCUGGUGUAGCGGUGGAAUGCGCAGAUAUCAGGAGGAACACCAAUGGCGAAGGCAGAUCUCUGGGCCGUAACUGACGCUGAGGAGCGAAAGCGUGGGGAGCGAACAGGAUUAGAUACCCGAGUAGUC